GACUGCAGGCUGCAACUCGCCUGCACGAAGUCGGAAUUGCUAGUAAUCGUAGGUCAGCAUACUACGGUGAAUACGUUCCCGGGCCUUGUACACACCGCCGUCAAACCAUGGGAGUUGGCAACACCCGAAGUCGGUAGUCUAACCGCAAGGAGGACGCCGCCGAAGGUGGGGUUGAUGAUUAGGGUUAAGUCGUAACAAGGUAUC
RNAcentral lists this ribosomal RNA (204 nucleotides) under uncultured bacterium. RNAcentral's name for it is "partial 16S ribosomal RNA". It matches the Rfam family "Bacterial small subunit ribosomal RNA", at positions 1296 to 1500 of the family's 1533-position model. The record is from RNAcentral.